Molecule: ribosomal RNA, 481 nt
Filed under: uncultured bacterium
Lineage: Bacteria
Description: partial 16S ribosomal RNA
Rfam family: Bacterial small subunit ribosomal RNA
Source: RNAcentral
UUGAACGCUGGCGGCAUGCCUUACACAUGCAAGUCGAACGGUAACGGGCCUUCGGGUGCCGACGAGUGGCGAACGGGUGAGUAAUACAUCGGAACGUGCCCGAUCGUGGGGGAUAACGAGGCGAAAGCUUUGCUAAUACCGCAUACGAUCGACGGAUGAAAGCAGGGGACCGCAAGGCCUUGCGCGGACGGAGCGGCCGAUGGCAGAUUAGGUAGUUGGUGGGAUAAAAGCUUACCAAGCCGACGAUCUGUAGCUGGUCUGAGAGGAUGAUCAGCCACACUGGGACUGAGACACGGCCCAGACUCCUACGGGAGGCAGCAGUGGGGAAUUUUGGACAAUGGGCGCAAGCCUGAUCCAGCCAUGCCGCGUGCAGGAUGAAGGCCUUCGGGUUGUAAACUGCUUUUGUACGGAACGAAAAGCCUUCUUUUAAUACAGGAGGGUCAUGACGGUACCGUAAGAAUAAGCACCGGCUAACUACGUG